Long non-coding RNA from Hordeum vulgare subsp. vulgare (domesticated barley), 2219 nucleotides. RefSeq lists it as uncharacterized. The transcript is spliced from 3 exons. The record is from RefSeq and is a predicted model, not a curated record. Lineage: Eukaryota; Viridiplantae; Streptophyta; Magnoliopsida; Poales; Poaceae.
GCUGGCAGCCGUCUUCUUCACCGCGCUAGAAGGACGCGCGCGUGUGGACAACACGCGUGAGCACAUGCCUUUCCACCUCCUGCUGACCAUGUCGCGGUAGCGAGCUAGAUAACCUCGCUAGAUCCGUGUGGAUCUAAGACACAUCCCCAUUUCUUCCUGCCUCGCUCUUCCUCGCCUCUUAUGGCCAUGGCCGAGCCCCGCCGAAACUUUCCACCACCGUACUCAUAGCCACCACCGUUCCUCGCCCCUCCGAUGUGUCCACGAGCUCCACCUCCGACAGAGCCCAUGUAGCGCGUCACUGACCCAUCCUUCAACCUCCGACCACCAAUAUCGUCACCGCUGAUUCACCCGUACCACACCAUCUCCAAGCCUGCUGAGCGUAUCGCUGCAACCGCUGUGAGCUCCUGCUUUUAACCCCUCUCCUUAACGCAUUAUUAGCUAGCUUUAGCCGAUGUUUCACAGACGACCGAAAUCCGCCUCCACCUAGGCUCGUCGUUGACGAUUCGCCGGUGACCAUUUGGUCACCGCGGCAUGCCCAACGUGCUCAGUGCAUCAUGUCGAUCCACACACACAGUCAUUUUAUAUCCAUCUUCUCACUCGUGCCGCGAGUCCCCUCGGGCUCACCUUGUUGGCUAAACACGAGCCCAGCAUCGCCACACUCCUGAGGCCACCACGAUCGAGCCAAACUCCGGCGCACCUGCUACAUUUCCCCACCCAUGUUGGUACUCUUUCAUCGGUCAUGUUGGUCGCUGCCACCAUGGCCCAUGAACCUUGUGACUCUGGCCUCGGGAUCUCUCCCUAGAUCCGGGCGGCACUAGAGGCGGUGUCCGCCACCGCUCCUUCAUUGGAAGAGGAAGAUGGCCUAAAGCGCUACAUCCUCCAUCCCCCUACCCCGCCCCCGCCCCCGCAUCAAGGCCCUACUUCCUCUCCACCAGAUCCCUCCAGGUUAUGUCAUCCCAAAUAUCCAUUGUACAUGUUUUAGAACCAUCAUCUCCAGCCAUCGUCGAGGCGGUUUCCACGAUUUCAUGGAAGGUCCGGGGGCGCGGGAGCUACUUCUCGGCCUUGCCGGGUCGACGAUGGCAGAGUUAAGUUACAACACUAUCUGUAUUUUUUAUAAUCUUACGAAACUUGUUACCAACAUGGUAUAUGAGUCUGAGUGUUCCACAUUAUUUGUAAUUUUCAAAUGUUGUGAUAUGCUCUUUGCAGAUCAUUUACUUUUGGUGCCUUGAUUUGUAUCAAAUGUUCUAGAGCACCUAGAAGCCUGGGGUUCAUAUUUCCAAGGGACCCAUUGAUAUUUUGAUAUUCCUAGCGAUUCCUACUCUCCUAGUCUGAAGAGCAAGACAUGGAAGGCUUUCACACAUUAAGCCGUAAAGAACUUCUCAUUCUUUUGGAGCGGACCCGUAGCAUAACAGGUUUAUUUCAUAUUUCCUCAACACAGCUCUACUGAAGGAUGAUGUUUCUCCUUAUUCGCAUAUAUGUGUGGGAAAAAUACGAGUGUCAACAAUUUUUUUGUCUCACCAACAACUUUCACGCCCUUCAUAAAACAAGUUGAUCUGGCCCCGAUUAAUUACGUUGUACAAAGGUAGGUAACGUUAUUUUGAUACGGCGAUGUCCAAAAGUUCUAAGUGAUUGAUUCAGUUAUUAUAAUGCCCCAUGACAUGAUAAUAAUUUUGUUUUUUUAACCUCUUAAAUGUAUCUUGCCUUUUUCUAUCUUGACCUAAUACUCCCUGUAAUGUACUACAAAUUUUGUAUCUAUGUAUUUCUUAACUAAGAUGUGAUCUAAAUCCAAAUAGGAAGCAACUAUUUACUCAUCCUAUUCUGACUUUAUGAAUGUCUAGAGUCUAACAUCAAUUGUAACAAUUAUAUAGUUCUACGGAUUUCAUUGCUUUACCAUGGAUGGUUUUAACAUGUUACAGAUGGAGAAUCAUCAUGCAGCUGCAUCUCAGAAAGGGUCAGGUGAACAUGCCCCGUUUAAAGACCAAAUGAGCAUAAUAUAUUUAUAGAUAGUUCUUUUUUUGUUUGAAACUAUGCCAAAAUUUAUUGUUGCAAGUUCAUCAAUGGAAACCAAGGGUUCAUGCUUUAGAUUGACGACUUCUUGUUGCGGUUUGUCGGCUAGGUAGGGGAGAUCGGCAUGGCUAAAUCCUUUUUUUGCAUGGUGUGACCGUGUGAAAGGCUGGUGAUUGUCUCAACGUUCUUUUUCUACAAAAGAGUGUAAAUCA